AGAAUGGGCACCUUGAGCACCCCAGGCACUGCACACAGCCUCUCAUUAGCACUUCUAAUUAGAGCCAGGUGAAGCUGAGGAAUUUAAUCACUCCUGUUACUCCACAACAGACAGGUUUGGAUCUGGGUAGUAGCUUGGCAGGACCCAAACAGAACUGCUCUGUCGCAUUUGCAAGCAGAGAAUGUGACCAGUUUGGGUUUCUUUUAAAAAACAAGGAGGCAGCACAAGCUUUUGGGGACAAGCUCCAGGGCUUGAGGGUAGCUGGCAUGAAGCAACGUAUGCAAAGGGCACUUGGCUGACAUGCUUGCACCAAGUUCACCCAAGUUCUGUGCUCUGUAGCAGCCAAAGCAUUUCUGAACUGUAUAGCGUGGAAGAAGGCUGAGAGGUGGCAACACUGGCACAGCAAAGCAGCACUAGAAGUCAUCUCAUCAUGGUUCAGCCCUCCUGGUCCCACCGGCCACCUGCUCCUCCUGGAAAAGGUGCUUAUCUCUGCAGCCACCAUGAUGCUCAUCCCUUCUGCAACCGUGAUGCUCAUCCCUCCUCCCACCAUGGUGAUGCUCAUCCCUGCAGCUACUGUGAUGUCCAUCCCUCCAACCACCACACUGGAUGCAGCCAGGGCCAGGACCAAACUGUGGGGACAAAGAGUGCCUCCCUGGGGAAUUAAAGCACCAAGAGGCUCUCCCUGCUCUCUUUUCACCCCCAGCCCCUGGACGAGGUGCACCCCUGAGUGGAAGGGGACAAAGUGGAAAAGGGGGGUGGAGGGGGGGGGUUAGGCUUUUUUCUUGGAAGCUGUGUUUAUCCCCCUUGUUAAACGCCAGAUGAAAAGUUUCAAGCCUAAAUUAGUUUUGUCCUCUUCCCUUCAUUUAUUUACAUUAUAAUAAUCCCGCGCCUGCGAAUUGUGUCAAUUAUUCUUUCCUCUGGGCGAGCCAAGAAUUCUUUGUUCCUUGCUAGUUUACAAAAGUGAAAUAUAGGUGAGGUUUAGGACCUUUUAAUCCUCCUAUGUAAUUACUGUUCCCUGCAGACACCGCAGCGGUUUACAAUCACGGCGCGGAGCUGCUGGGCUCAGAUUAGACACACAAAGUCCCUUCACUUCAUCAAAGGUUUCCUUAUCUGCCCAAGACAGCGAAACAACAAACGAUCCACAAAUCUCGCCGGACCCGGUGUUUAUUUGACCACGGCUGAAAUAAAUAAAUGUGCUGCAGCCCGAGAGGCUGAGGCCGAGCGGUUUCCCUGAGAACGGGGGGCUCGGCAGGCGCCUGGGUGGGAAUU
Cuculus canorus (common cuckoo) is the source of this 1269-nucleotide long non-coding RNA. RefSeq lists it as uncharacterized. The record is from RefSeq and is a predicted model, not a curated record. The transcript is spliced from 3 exons. NCBI's taxonomy places the organism in Eukaryota, Metazoa, Chordata, Aves, Cuculiformes, Cuculidae.